AUUCUGUUCUGGUAUUUCUCUGCUACUUGAACUUUGCAUUAUCAGAGCAUUGGACUGCUUUUGCUUGAUAUUGUGCUGGAUUAGAAUAUGCCCUUAGUAUUUUUCCUAUCAUAUGAUAUUAAUAAACACAACUGAAAGGAGAAAAUAGAUUGUCCCAAAGUCUGUUCUGCAUGGUUAUCUCUCACAAUGGUUAUAACCAUUGUGCCACCGUGGUUAUAGUAAGCUCUCCAAUAAAUAUUACUGGGCAUGUAAGCAUUUCUUCCUUUUAACUACCAUGGUGUAAUGUCUAGGAGGGAGAGAAAAUGCUUUAACAUCUACAUUUGUUUGUUUGCUCAUUCACAAAUACCUCACAAGGGCCCCACGAUAUGAGAGGUCCCGUGCUGUAUGCUAGGAAUAUAAAUCACUUAAUUUGCAGUGUGAUCCUGGGAAAACCCUUUUCAUGUUUCUACUCUCCUGUAUCCUGUUGAUCUCAUAAGAAAGUCAUUUACAGGAAGUUCUCAGCCUUAGGUGGAUCCAAAACUUUAGGCAGAUUUGUGGUGCUCUCUAUAGCCUUA
Molecule: long non-coding RNA, 554 nt
Filed under: Bos taurus (domestic cattle)
Lineage: Eukaryota; Metazoa; Chordata; Mammalia; Artiodactyla; Bovidae
Description: long non-coding RNA NONBTAT023549
Source: RNAcentral